CCUACGGGAGGCAGCAGUGAGGCAUUUUGGUCAAUGGGCGCGAGCCUGAACCAGCCAAGUAGCGUGAAGGAUGACUGCCCUACGGGUUGUAAACUUCUUUUAUAAAGGAAUAAAGUGAGGCCCGUGUGCCUUUUUGUAUGUACUUUAUGAUUAAGGAUCGGCUAACUCCGUGACAGCAGCCGCGGUAAUACGGAGGACCCGAGCGUUAUCCGGAUUUAUUGGGUUUAAAGGGAGCGUAGAUGGGUUGUUAAGUCAGUUGUGAAAGUUGUCGGCUCAACCGUAAAAUUGCAAUUGAUACUGGCAGCAUUGAGUACAGUUGAGGGAGGCGGAAUUCGUGGUGUAGCGGUGAAAUGCUUAGAUAUCACGAAGAACUACGAUUGCGAAGGCAGCCUACUAAACUGCCACUGACAUUGAGGCUCGAAAGUGUGGGUAUCAAACAGGAUUAGAGACCCGAGUAGUC
This 460-nucleotide ribosomal RNA is filed under the name uncultured bacterium. RNAcentral describes it as "partial 16S ribosomal RNA". It matches the Rfam family "Bacterial small subunit ribosomal RNA", at positions 338 to 795 of the family's 1533-position model. The record is from RNAcentral.